This 228-nucleotide ribosomal RNA is filed under the name uncultured bacterium. RNAcentral's name for it is "partial 16S ribosomal RNA". It matches the Rfam family "Bacterial small subunit ribosomal RNA", at positions 568 to 795 of the family's 1533-position model. The record is from RNAcentral.
UGCGCAGGCGGGUUAUUAAGUCAGUGGUGAAAUCUCUCGGCUCAACCGAGAAACUGCCAUUGAAACUGAUAAUCUUGAGUAUAGUUGUAGUAGGCGGAAUAUAGCAUGUAGCGGUGAAAUGCUUGGAUAUGCUAUAGAACACCGAUCGCGAAGGCAGCUUACUAAACUAUUACUGACGCUCAUGCACGAAAGCGUGGGGAGCAAACAGGAUUAGAUACCCUGGUAGUC